CAGGGUAAGAAGAGAGGCAGAUGAAGUGAUGCACCCAUCAUGCCUAGUGCCUACUGAAUAAGCUUGUGAGAGCAGUUUAUGUUCUGGGGUUGUUGCAGGUCCAGGUUCAGCUAGGUUGUGUGUGGAACGGGCAUUUUCCAAGACAAAACCAGGAUUCGUUCGGCUCAAAUUGUGAAAGAGUGGUUCCAACAUAUUCUCACUCCCAGCGCGUCAAAAAAAAAAAAAACGCUUGGUCAGCCACCCUCCUCGUCAGACCCUUGACCCCAAAAGUGCCCUUUUUCGUCACUUAUGUGCGAAAAGGGGUUUUCCUCUUUUCUGACUGCAGAUUCCAAAGCAGCGUAAAACUGACGCGAUGGGAUAUCCACUGAUGCAGCACCGAACCAGCUCAUUUAACCGCACCUAAACCUUAACAUUUUGCUAUUUAUAACCUUCCCCUCGCCCUCAUCCUAACCUUAACCCUCUUGCUACCUAAAACGUUACUCUCACUGUGAUCAAGCGUCUGUUUCCCAUGCAUUCUGACUGUGAAUUUUCGUAUUAGCCGCCCAAGGGGAACGUUAGAACAUACCAUCUGGUGAGGAGGAGGUUACAAAUACCCUCUACUUUUAACCUCCGCCUUGGUAGUUGAAACCUCCCCCUCGCGUUGGCUCGGUCCAAACCCGACCAAUGACGAGGCGGAUCCCGCCGUUCACUUCAUAGAGCCGGCUUUGAGAGUGACCGACACAUCACUAACGUGUUCGCUAGCAAGAUGGUGAAGGUUCGGAUAGGGGUGAGGGGAAGGUUAAAUAAGAGGAUAAGGUUAGGGUGAGGUACAUUGAGCUUGUGUACUGCCCUGGCUGCGGACAUCCCAUCGCGUCAGUUUUACGCUGCAUUGGGAUCUGCAGUCAGAAAAGGGAAAAAAACCUUUUCGCACAUAAGUGACGAAAAAGGGCACUUUUGACUUCAGGGGACUGACGCAGAGGGUGGCUGACCAAGCGUCUGUUUUUGACACACUGGGAGUGAGAAUGGGUUGGUGGUUCGUGCAGCAUGAGACAUCGAUCUCACGUAUGGAUCGGCCAGUCUGGACUUUAACCCUACUGGGAAGCUUGUCUUUAGCAUGUGCUGGAAAAAGUCUUUGCACAUUAGUCUUCCGUCAUCAGUCCAAGAUCAGAAGCUCAUUGAAACAAUGCAUUAAUUGCUUGCUAUAAUCAAAGCUGAAGUUGGUCCAAAGAAAUAUUAAAUAACCUUUUUUAGGACAGUGUGGACACAUCCUGUGGUGUCACCCGCCAACAGUAUCGACCCGUGGAGUCAGCUGGAAAUGGGAACACCGGGUCGACGGAGACAUCCCUGGGCAUGUUGUGAUCUGUGGGGGAAACUGGAGUACCCGGAGAAAACCCACGCAUGCAUGGGGAAAACACGCAACUCCACGCAGAAAGGCGUUUUCUUUCUGCUCAAACAAGCAGAAAGUGCAACUGAAACUGAUUAGAAACAAAGUGCUGCUGCAUUUAGCAGCAAAUGAAACCCAGAACCAAGAGUGAUUUAUGAUUUUUGUCCAUGUCAGACAUACAUGGGCAAGACACAUGACAAGAAUUGGUGACUGUGGUCAUUCGCAACCCUGAGUCGCGCUACCUUAAUAGACAUCAGAGGGUUACAUGAGGAUUGGUUCAGGUGGAGGGAAAAAAAGGCACCAGAGUUACCCUCCAUAGGGAGGGCAGCUUUGCUCUGCAAAAAAAAACCCACCUCAGACAGAUAUGCAACAGACUCCAGACAACACACAACGUAAGUGUCCACUAGGUGGGGUGGUGGGUUUGGGACUAUCCCCACUUCAGUUCCUGCAGCCACGAUAAGCAGCGCAUGUCACCUCAGUGUGGAGGGGGUGGGGGUGGGGGGGGGGGUGCAUUGAGGGUUGGAGUGACCCUGGAACGAUUCAGCGGCCUUCCCGCAGUCCCGCCCAGGCUGGGAAAGGAGACAGAGUUGAGUUGCCAUAGCGACUACACAUUCCACAUGUCUUCUGAGUUAACCAAUUUGUCAUGUUUAAAAUUGUUUGUAAAAUAAAUUCUUACUUUUAUAAA
This is a non-coding RNA of Nothobranchius furzeri (turquoise killifish), 2048 nucleotides long. The record is from RefSeq and is a predicted model, not a curated record. NCBI's taxonomy places the organism in Eukaryota, Metazoa, Chordata, Actinopteri, Cyprinodontiformes, Nothobranchiidae.